AGCAGCCGCGGUAAUUCCAGCUCCAAUAGCGUAUAUUAAAGUUGUUGCAGUUAAAAAGCUCGUAGUUGAAUCUCGGGAUCAAUAUGUCGGUCGUGCCUUCGGUACGUACUGGCAUCAUUGAUUUCUCCCUUCUGACGAACCACGAUGUCAUUAAUUUGGUGUCAUGGGGAGUCAGGACUGUUACUUUGAAAAAAUUAGAGUGUUUAAAGCAGGCUCACGCUUGAAUACAUUAGCAUGGAAUAAUGAAAUAGGACGUUUGACCCUAUUUUGUUGGUUUCUAGGAUCAACGUAAUGAUUAAUAGGGAUAGUUGGGGGCAUUAGUAUUCAAUUGUCAGAGGUGAAAUUCUUGGAUUUAUUGAAGACUAACUACUGCGAAAGCAUUUGCCAAGGAUGUUUUCAUUAAUCAAGAACGAAAGUUAGGGGAUCGAAGACGAUCAGAUACCGUCGUAGUCUUAACCAUAAACUAUGCCGACUAGGGAUCGGAUGAUGUUAAUUUUUUAAUGUACUCAUUC
RNAcentral lists this ribosomal RNA (512 nucleotides) under uncultured fungus. RNAcentral's name for it is "SSU rRNA". It matches the Rfam family "Eukaryotic small subunit ribosomal RNA", at positions 569 to 1081 of the family's 1831-position model. Lineage: Eukaryota; Fungi. The record is from RNAcentral.